This 86-nucleotide small RNA is filed under the name Flavobacterium caeni. RNAcentral's name for it is "Flavo-1 RNA". It matches the Rfam family "Flavo-1 RNA". The record is from Rfam by way of RNAcentral. Lineage: Bacteria; Pseudomonadati; Bacteroidota; Flavobacteriia; Flavobacteriales; Flavobacteriaceae.
CCCUAGCCCCGAUAGAAGUGGAAAUCCUUUUGCGGCCACAGCGCAGCGGAGGUCGUAAAAGAUUGCAACGGAUAGCGGGAAUCAGC